UGAAUGGGCUAGGGCAUACACCAAUGUACCAAACCCUAUCAAACUCCGAAUACCUUAUAUGUAAUCACAGCAGUCAGGCGGCGAGUGAUAAAAUCCGUCGUCAAGAGGGAAACAACCCAGACUACCAGCUAAGGUCCCUAAAUCUUACUUAAGUGGAAAACGAUGUGAAGUUACUUAAACAACCAGGAGGUUGGCUUAGAAGCAGCCAUCCUUUAAAGAAAGCGUAAUAGCUCACUGGUCUAGUGAUUUUGCGCGGAAAAUAUAACGGGGCUAAAGUAAGUACCGAAGCUGUAGACUUAGUUUACUAAGUGGUAGGAGAGCGUUCUAUUUGCGUCGAAGGUAUACCGGUAAGGAGUGCUGGAGCGAAUAGAAGUGAGCAUGCAGGCAUGAGUAGCGAUAAUUAAUGUGAGAAUCAUUAACGCCGUAAACCCAAGGUUUCCUACGCGAUGCUCGUCAUCGUAGGGUUAGUCGGGUCCUAAGUCGAGUCCGAAAGGGGUAGACGAUGGCAAAUUGGUUAAUAUUCCAAUACCAACAUUAGUGUGCGAUGGAAGGACGCUUAGGGCUAAGGGGGCUAGCGGAUGGAAGUGCUAGUCUAAGGUCGUAGGAGGUUGUACAGGCAAAUCCGUAUAACAAUACUCCGAGAACUGAAAGGCUUUUUGAAGUCUUCGGAUGGAUAGAAGAACCCCUGAUGCCGUCGAGCCAAGAAAAGUUUCUAAGUUUAGCUAAUGUUGCCCGUACCGUAAACCGACACAGGUGGGUGGGAUGAGUAUUCUAAGGCGCGUGGAAGAACUCUCUUUAAGGAACUCUGCAAAAUAGCACCGUAUCUUCGGUAUAAGGUGUGGUUAGCUUCGUACUAGGAUUUACUCCGAAAGCGAAGAAACUUACAACAAAGAGUCCCUCCCGACUGUUUACCAAAAACACAGCACUCUGCUAACUCGUAAGAGGAUGUAUAGGGUGUGACGCCUGCCCGGUGCUCGAAGGUUAAUUGAUGGGGUUAGCAUUAGCGAAGCUCUUGAUCGAAGCCCGAGUAAACGGCGGCCGUAACUAUAACGGUCCUAAGGUAGCGAAAUUCCUUGUCGGUUAAAUACCGACCUGCAUGAAUGGCGUAACGAGAUGGGAGCUGUCUCAAAGAGGGAUCCAGUGAAAUUGUAGUGGAGGUGAAAAUUCCUCCUACCCGCGGCAAGACGGAAAGACCCCGUGGACCUUUACUACAGCUUGACACUGCUACUUGGAUAAGAAUGUGCAGGAUAGGUG
Molecule: ribosomal RNA, 1254 nt
Filed under: Campylobacter jejuni
Lineage: Bacteria; Pseudomonadati; Campylobacterota; Epsilonproteobacteria; Campylobacterales; Campylobacteraceae
Description: partial 23S ribosomal RNA
Rfam family: Bacterial large subunit ribosomal RNA
Source: RNAcentral